GCCUGGGUGGCUCAGUCGGUUGAGUGUCUGACUUCGGCUCAGGUCAAGAUCUCAUGGUUCGUGAGUUUGAGUCCCGCAUCGGGUA
RNAcentral lists this transfer RNA (85 nucleotides) under Felis catus (domestic cat). It matches the Rfam family "tRNA". Rfam says of the family: Transfer RNA (tRNA) molecules are approximately 80 nucleotides in length. Their secondary structure includes four short double-helical elements and three loops (D, anti-codon, and T loops). The record is from Rfam by way of RNAcentral. Lineage: Eukaryota; Metazoa; Chordata; Mammalia; Carnivora; Felidae.